Molecule: non-coding RNA, 44 nt
Filed under: Trichobilharzia regenti
Lineage: Eukaryota; Metazoa; Platyhelminthes; Trematoda; Strigeidida; Schistosomatidae
Source: RNAcentral
AUCUGAUGGCGAAUCCCAAAUAGGACGAAAUGCGCAUCCUAGAU